GACGAACGCUGGCGGUGUGCUUAACACAUGCAAGUCGAACGGAAAGGCCCUGCUUUUGUGGGGUGCUCGAGUGGCGAACGGGUGAGUAACACGUGAGUAACCUGCCCUUGACUUUGGGAUAACUUCAGGAAACUGGGGCUAAUACCGGAUAGGAGCUCCUGCUGCAUGGUGGGGGUUGGAAAGUUUCGGCGGUUGGGGAUGGACUCGCGGCUUAUCAGCUUGUUGGUGGGGUAGUGGCUUACCAAGGCUUUGACGGGUAGCCGGCCUGAGAGGGUGAACGGCCACAUUGGGACUGAGAUACGGCCCAGACUCCUACGGGAGGCAGCAGUGGGGAAUAUUGCACGACGGGCGGAAACCUGAUGCAGCAACGCCGCGUGCGGGAUGAAGGCCUUCGGGUUGUAAACCGCUUUCGCCUGUGACGAAGCGUGAGUGACGGAAAUGGGUAAAGAAGCACCGGCUAACUACGUG
Molecule: ribosomal RNA, 468 nt
Filed under: uncultured bacterium
Lineage: Bacteria
Description: partial 16S ribosomal RNA
Rfam family: Bacterial small subunit ribosomal RNA
Source: RNAcentral